AGCAUCGAAAUGGUACAGGCGUGAGCUUCAUCACCAUGAGUCAAGCCCAAUGGAAGGAUCACUUCACUGUGCUUUGUCGCAGCUCAAACUAUCUGGGAUCUGCUUCUCAGCGAUUUAUUUUCUACAGCCUUCCAACAUCUGCAGAAAGUCAAGGUUUGUCUCUGAACUGAGUAUAACUUAUUGGUAAGCGGCACAUUUCACCAUUUGUUCUCGUAAUUACUAAGUAUUAACAAGAAAGCUUUAUGAAUGGGUAAGUGGUGAACAUAAAUUCCUCUUGAAAGCUUUAAUAUGUCCUGAUUUAACAAUUUACAAAAUGAAUAAUUAAUAAGUGAUGUCCGAAUUUAUUCAAAUAAUAAUCUCGUCUGAAUAAGAGCUUGAACCAUAAUCCCUUAUUGUCCUUUGUAUUUUUCAGUGAUUUUGCUAGUCUUCAUCGCCACCAUUGUCGUCUUCCUGGUGCUAGUAUGUGCUCUACUCUUUGUUAUCAGGGCUCAGAGGACUCAACACAACCUGCUUAAGAGUCAGGGGUCAGGUAACGCUAGCACAGUUGCUAUGAGCCAACAUCUACCAAGUGGAAAAGGAGAUGAGGAACCCAACAAAACAAAUGAGGGCAUUUAUGCUAACACCACUGA
Molecule: non-coding RNA, 629 nt
Organism: Labrus bergylta (ballan wrasse)
Lineage: Eukaryota; Metazoa; Chordata; Actinopteri; Labriformes; Labridae
Source: RefSeq, a predicted model, not a curated record